Molecule: ribosomal RNA, 253 nt
Filed under: uncultured bacterium
Lineage: Bacteria
Description: partial 16S ribosomal RNA
Rfam family: Bacterial small subunit ribosomal RNA
Source: RNAcentral
UACGUACUGUGCGAACGUUAUUCGGAAUCACUGGGCUUAAAGGGUGCGUAGGCGGCCAAUCAAGUAGGGUGUGAAAGGUUACGGCUCAACCGUGACAUUGCGCUCUAGACUGAUUGGCUCGAGUGAGAUAGGGGUGUGCGGAACUUCCAGUGGAGCGGUGAAAUGUGUUGAUAUUGGAAGGAACGCCGGUGGCGAAAGCGGCACACUGGGUCUUAACUGACGCUGAGGCACGAAAGCCAGGGGAGCGAACGGC